UGUUCUGCUUAUGCUCAACUUUGGUCAUUGACUCAUUGUUCGAAAACGCUCUGCUGUCUCGUUGUUUCCUGUGAUUGGAUAAAGUUAGUUCAUUUUUAAUGAACAUUACAGCCAGUGAUUAGUCCUGGUGAAGUCCAUGCUUCUUCAUUGCAGUCCAAUGUGCAUAUGAAUUUGUUACGACCAACUGGCGAAAGGUGUUCCUCUUGCAGGCUCACUACCUGUACCGAGUGUACUGGUUGUAUCUUUUGUCACAUGCAGAAACACUAAAGAACACUUUAAAGAUUAACAGCCGAGUCUGGUGAAUCUGAGCUUCUUUGUUGCAUACCAGUCUGUUCAUGGAUUUAUUGCAGCCAGCUGUGUGAAAGAUGAAUCUUGAAGCUAGCAGAUUUGGAAAACAUACUGUCCAGCACAUCCAGAUUUCAGAAGCUGAAUAACAUUUAACAUGUACAACAUUCUUUAAGGUGAAAUUGUUGAUUAAAUUUAUACAAAUUUGGAUCAUGGCAUUUGUGAUGUUAGAUUGCAGGGACCUUUUAAAAUGUGGAACUUCACUGUAGCCAUCUGCUUGCUUUCAUCCAAUUGUGCAGACCUGUGCUGUCAUUUAUAUAUUCAAACUUUAUAAUCCAUUCCCUAUAACUACAUUUGAAAACUUAACAUCAUACAAAUUAUAUACCUUUA
Long non-coding RNA from Daphnia pulicaria, 675 nucleotides. RefSeq lists it as uncharacterized. Lineage: Eukaryota; Metazoa; Arthropoda; Branchiopoda; Diplostraca; Daphniidae. The record is from RefSeq and is a predicted model, not a curated record. The transcript has 4 exons.